CGAGCCGGGCGGACGGCCGCGUGGAGUCCCCGUAGGGGGCUUCCCGAGGAACGUCCGGGCUCCACAGGGCAGGGUGAUGGCUAACGGCCACCCGGGGUGACCCGCGGGACAGUGCCACAGAAAGCAGACCGCCGAGGGCUUAGGCCCUCGGUAAGGGUGAAACGGUGGUGUAAGAGACCACCAGUGCCCAGGGCGACCUGGGCAGCUAGGUAAACCCCACCCGGAGCAAGGUCAAAAGGAGCGCCGUAAAAAGCACUCUGCGCGGACGUUCGAGGGCUGCCCGCCCGAGCCCGCGGGUAGACCGCACGAGGCCGGUGGCAACACCGGCCCUAGAUGGAUGGCCGUCGCCGGGGGGACCGUGAGGUCCCCCCGGAACAGAACCCGGCGUACAGUCCGACUCGUCUG
Molecule: RNase P RNA, 405 nt
Filed under: Streptomyces luteolifulvus
Lineage: Bacteria; Bacillati; Actinomycetota; Actinomycetes; Kitasatosporales; Streptomycetaceae
Description: Bacterial RNase P class A
Rfam family: Bacterial RNase P class A
About the family: Ribonuclease P (RNase P) is a ubiquitous endoribonuclease, found in archaea, bacteria and eukarya as well as chloroplasts and mitochondria.
Source: Rfam by way of RNAcentral